AUACGGAAGGCAGCAGUGAGGAAUUUUGGACAAUGGGCGCAAGCCUGAUCCAGCCAUUCCGCGUGCAGGAUGAAGGCCUUCGGGUUGUAAACUGCUUUUGUACGGAACGAAAAGGCUCUGGUUAAUACCUGGGGCACAUGACGGUACCGUAAGAAUAAGCACCGGCUAACUACGUGCCAGCAGCCGCGGUAAUACGUAGGGUGCGAGCGUUAAUCGGAAUUACUGGGCGUAAAGCGUGCGCAGGCGGUGAUGUAAGACAGAUGUGAAAUCCCCGGGCUCAACCUGGGAACUGCAUUUGUGACUGCAUCGCUGGAGUGCGGCAGAGGGGGAUGGAAUUCCGCGUGUAGCAGUGAAAUGCGUAGGUAUGCGGAGGAACACCGAUGGCGAAGGCAAUCCCCUGGGCCUGCACUGACGCUCAUGCACGAAAGCGUGGGGAGCAAACAGGAUUAGAUACCCCAGUAGUCAU
RNAcentral lists this ribosomal RNA (466 nucleotides) under uncultured bacterium. RNAcentral's name for it is "bacterial SSU rRNA". It matches the Rfam family "Bacterial small subunit ribosomal RNA", at positions 339 to 797 of the family's 1533-position model. The record is from RNAcentral.